ACAGGAAGAAGCUGCUUCUUUGCUGACGAGUGGCGGACGGGUGAGUAAUGUCUGGGAAACUGCCUGAUGGAGGGGGAUAACUACUGGAAACGGUAGCUAAUACCGCAUAACGUCGCAAGACCAAAGAGGGGGACCUUCGGGCCUCUUGCCAUCGGAUGUGCCCAGAUGGGAUUAGCUAGUAGGUGGGGUAACGGCUCACCUAGGCGACGAUCCCUAGCUGGUCUGAGAGGAUGACCAGCCACACUGGAACUGAGACACGGUCCAGACUCCUACGGGAGGCAGCAGUGGGGAAUAUUGCACAAUGGGCGCAAGCCUGAUGCAGCCAUGCCGCGUGUAUGAAGAAGGCCUUCGGGUUGUAAAGUACUUUCAGCGGGGAGGAAGGGAGUAAAGUUAAUACCUUUGCUCAUUGACGUUACCCGCAGAAGAAGCACCGGCUAACUCCGUGCCAGCAGCCGCGGUAAUACGGAGGGUGCAAGCGUUAAUCGGAAUUACUGGGCGUAACGCGCACGCAGGCGGUUUGUUAAGUCAGAUGUGAAAUCCCCGGGCUCAACCUGGGAACUGCAUCUGAUACUGGCAAGCUUGAGUCUCGUAGAGGGGGGUAGAAUUCCAGGUGUAGCGGUGAAAUGCGUAGAGAUCUGGAGGAAUACCGGUGGCGAAGGCGGCCCCCUGGACGAAGACUGACGCUCAGGUGCGAAAGCGUGGGGAGCAAACAGG
Molecule: ribosomal RNA, 714 nt
Filed under: uncultured Escherichia sp.
Lineage: Bacteria; Pseudomonadati; Pseudomonadota; Gammaproteobacteria; Enterobacterales; Enterobacteriaceae
Description: bacterial SSU rRNA
Rfam family: Bacterial small subunit ribosomal RNA
Source: RNAcentral